UUUUUUUUUUUUUUCAUUUUCCCAAUAGGACAGAUACAGACCUGGCACCUCCCUCUCAAGAUUCUAACAUGCCCACUAUUUCAAUCUUACCCCUAAACUACACGGAGUUGAGGACCACUUUUCAAAUAAACUUUGUUUUUUAAAAAAUACAAGCAGAAUGACAUUUAAAGUUUAAAAAAAGAAUGACUGACUUAGGAAAACAAUCUAGAGGCAAUUUAUUUUGAGCAACAUGUCCCUCCAAAAAGACAUAUUUCAAACCUCAUCACCCUCAACAAAAGCUUUUGGGGGAAGCUUGAAAAUUAACCUUUUACUCCUUUCUCCCUCUAUUCAGAUUAUUUCCACUCCCCUCCCCCCUCCUUUCUUUUAAUAGAAAUAUAGACUCCUCUGUACUUUUUCAACAAUUAAAGAGACAGUCUCUUCUAAUCCUGGAAAAUUAAUUACUAAGCUUGGAAGAGACACAGUAGUUGACGUCCAGGAGCUCUCCAAUCUCAGGAAGACAAAGGAAACCAAGCCAAGAAGCCCACUUCUGCUAUUAGAGUUAACAUGAGCUACUGCCAGGCAGCAGUUUCAGACAGCUCUCCUGGGUUACUGUAAUUGCCCCUGCAGGGGACGGACCUUCAUCAGGAGAAGCAGUGGGCUCCUACAAAAAAGCAGUCCUCCUCUCAGCUUUUUCUUCCUAACUCCACACACUGGACAAAGACUGAUGUCUGGUGGUGGGACAGGUGAGACAAUGGGCAAGGCACUUCUUAAUUUCAAAGAGAGGAAGAUAGGUAUUUGGAGAUGUUACCAGACUAGAAACUCAAAGGCUAGGGCUACAACUUACACAUUCUUCUAUUCCUAGUUCCUGGCAUUUAGUAGGUCCUCAGUAAGUGUUUAAUACGUGAAUGAAAUAAGCCAAGCAGGGUUGUCCUGAGGCUGCAGUCACCUUAGGCUUGACUGGGGCUGGAGGAUCUGCCUCUAAGAUGUCACACUCACAUUUUGAGUGAGGAAGGAAGCCUAUUUCCUUGCCAAGUGGGAAUCUCCAGGAGUUUACCUGCAUGUCAUGACAUGGCAGCUACUUUCCCCCAAAGUGAGUGAUUCAAAGAGGGUGAAGUGGAUGCAAAAGCCUAGCCUUGAAAUGUCUUGAAAAUGACAUACCACCACUUCUGCUGUGUUUAAAUGGUCACACAGACCAACCCAGAUACAAUGCUCACAGGAGACUACAAAAGAGCAUGAAUCUAAGAGGUGGAGUCACUGUGAACGUCUUGGAGGCUAGCAACCAUAAUCUAUCACUAACAAAAAGAACCCAGAUGAUUAAACGAUGACAAUGCUUUUUUAUUACUUGUAAUUACUAUCUUAUACAGUAGUAACCAUGCCUUUUAUUUUCUGAUGCUUCGACCUCUUUGGGCCUUACUGACCCUGUAAGGGAAUGCCCCCCUCCUAGGGUUAGCAACCAACCUGGCUGGGAGUGUGCAUUUCAAAACACACUAACCAAUUCAGGAGCCACCUCCUUUAUGGGGCUCUCACACUCUGGGCCACUAUGCAGCUUCAUGAAUCACCCAGGGCCAGGGAUGACAUGAGCAACAGCCCUUUGUCCCACGGCCCACCAAAAGUAUUCAAAUUAGCCAAUCCCAAGCCUAAUCACCCUGCCUUGCCUGUUCCUUCUUGUAGAAACCACACCAUAAGCUCUUACAUCUUCCCCUCGCUCCCUGAUUCCUGACUGACCCAGCUGCUUCCCCUGUCCCCUUGUGUGGCAGACCUAAUGUUUCCUAUUUCUAGGGACCUUCUUCCUCAUGACAGUCAUUUCUAUGUCUGUGUGUCAUACCAAACCACACCAUAUCUGAUGAAUACAAAUCCCAAUACUCUUAAAACAUGUACUUAAUCAAAGAGCAUCUUAGGUCUUUUGUAGAUUGGAGGCAUCUGAGACAUUUGAGGAAUAUCCAGUUUCAUCAGUGUUUCCCAUUUGACUUCAAUUCUAAUUUCAUUUUUUUCCUAUACUGAAUCACUUAUCCCCGGAAGUUAAUCACUUCUGCUCAAAGUCAGCAUUAAGUUUCCAACAAAUUGGUUCAUGCCUUAAUGAUUAGGCCUGUGCUUUGCAUGAAUUGCUAACAGUAGGCCACUUAUUGCAGUAAGAACAUCUUCCAGAGUUCCCAUAGUGGCUCAGUGGGUUAAGAAUCUGACUACCAUCCAUGAGGAUGCAGAUUCGAUCUCUGGUCUCGCUCAGCAGGUUAAGGAUCCGGCAUUGCCAUGAGCUUUGGCGCAGGCUGCAGAUGCAGUUGGGAUGUGGCGUUGUUGUGGCUGUGGUGUAGGCUGGCAGCUGUAGCUCCAAUUCAACCCCUACCCUUAAGAACUUCCAUGUGCCGCAGGUAUAGCCCUAAAAAGACAAAAAACAAAACAAAACAAACAAACAAACAAACCCUUCUUCUAUUUAUUCCAAAGGAUGUGACAGUUUCCUCUUCAUUCAUUUGCCUUGUUUGGUGUUUGGUAGACAAACCUUUUACACCAACCUCAGCAUGUCAGUAAAACUUCAGUUACUAGUGUGUAUCUUUCUUUCUUUCCGUAGUUCCAAAAAGCACUUAGUUGCCACAUUGCCAAAAAUACAGCCUCAUGUUCAUUCCUAAAAUGGCAAGGCUUUGCUUCUCUAAUACCAAAAUUAACACUACUGCUCUGCUUCUGUACUUUUUGAGUACAAAAUAACCUUUCAUUAUAAUAAGUCGUAGCACAAUCUUUUUGAAAGCAUCUUAAACAACACAUACAUUUAACAAUAUGUAGGAUCAAUAAUGCAUAUUACUUGACAGAAAUGAUGCCAAUAUGGAAAGCAUGCUCAAUACGCACAUGCACAGGUGAUGACAUCAGUGUCGUCACAACUGCUGCCUGCCUGACACUCUUAAGAUGCCAAUUUCAGAUACACUCCGAUUUAAAAAAAACUCAUCCCAGAAUUGAUGCAGCAAGGUAAACACCUUCCCACAUAAGGUGCUUGGCAGAGUUUCUGACCCACAGUAAGCUCUCACUAAAUGCCAACAAUCAAACUCUCAGCAAACUAGGCUCCCUCUAGACAACAUAUCUGACUUGCAGAGAGGGGCAGGGAUGUCUGAUCUUCUCAGACUUGGGAAAGUGGGGACAGAGGUGAUGGCAACAAAAUGGCACCAUCUCACAUACCACCAGUCUCCUGUGGGUGAUUGGGAGCUAGGCCUGGAGAAGGAUGAGCUUAUGUUGCUUGGUCACCAAGGAAAGAGACUUGGUUAAUAUUCAUUCAGUGCUCACAUCAACCCUGAAGAUGAGAAAUUACCUAAUUUUACAGAGGAGAAACUGAGACUCGGUAAAGUUAUUAUUAACCCCAGAGUUACGUAGCUAGAAGGCACAGACUUCAUUUGCAAGCCUGAGCUAUUCCCAUAAUCCUACCACCAUCUACAAAGAAUUUGAGUCCUACUAUGCAUGUCUCCACUUCCUAUAUUAUUUCUGCCUCUGGUAAUCAUAUGUUGUACGAUGGAGAGAGCCUUCAGAAUUUUUUUUUUUUUAAACAACUGAGGGUUAUAGCUAUAAAGGGCAUACAUGGAGCAGAUCAAUGUUGUAAGCAAAAUUCCUUCCCAGAACAUCAAAACCACUUAAUAUGCUCAACUGCUUCUGAGGCAUGCAUUUUGGAGGAGAACUGUUAUGCUGAUUACCAAUAAUUAUAAUCUACUCAUUAAGGAAAGUCCCUAAGGGCUUCUACAAAGGAACACUACAUGGCUGAGAUGGAGUUACUCUGUGUACUUGAAAAUAAUGAAGCUACCGUUCUUUUAAAAAUUAUCUAAUUUAGGCUUUUCACUGACUUAUGGGUUUCUCUGUAAGGACCCUAAAUGAAAGCGGUUUUGCUAAAUUUAAAUGGAAGCUUUCUCUCAAUGGUCCAGAGUAGCUUCAAAUCAAUUGCUGACAUGCUAGCUCCCUGCUGAGUAUGGAUGAGAAGAGAGAGGGUCAGGGAAGAAUUUAGAUCUGAAAGAUAUAUCCCCCUGAACUCUCUGCUUGUCUUAAACAUUUUCGUUUCAGAGAAGUUUCUCCAAAGAUUCUUGAGAUCACUGGAUCUCUGCAGAGAGAAGACAACUAGAAAAUCCUUUAGAAGCAAAGUUAAUGUAAAUAACACACAGGGGUUGAGAACUAAUUAUGGGCUGUGUACUUUAAUUUCCAUUUUAGUUAAGUCUCUUUACGUAAAAGAAACAGCCAAGCCAGCUCAGAUAUGGUUGCAAAGGGCUACAGGAGAGAAAUUUUACAGAAUUUCCACAGGCAGAAAUCAUAACUAGCCUCACAGAAACUGGAACUGACUCUAAGGUCUCCAGGCACCAGGAAUUUCAUGACUCUUUCCACAGGUGACCUCCCUCUGUCUUUGCAUUGAUUAAUUUGCUUUCAACUGCAAGAGACAGAAAAUCCAAUUCAAAGUGUCUUAAAUAGUAAGGAAAUUUACUGUCUCACCGAACUGGAAAUCCAGAUGCAAGUGGGUCUCAGGUUGUGUGAGCCAGUCAACUCUGUCAUCUAUGAUGCAGGUUCUUUCCUCUUCAUUUUGCCAUCCAGAAAGCCAGCUUCAUUCUAAGACUUGUUCUUAGGGAAUAUGAUCAUAGAGUAUUGGAUGGAAGGAAUGUGGGCUACAUGUUUCCUCAUGGGCAUUUUCAAGAGAGAAAUGGUCCCCCAGAUUCCCCACAGACUUUUAUCUCAUGGUAUCAUUGGCUUGAAUUAAGUCAUAUGACAUUCCUAAACUUACCCCUCAUGCCUAGUUCUAGUCACUAGCAAGGAGUAUGGGACUACCCAUGACUGGUUUAGACUGCUUAGGGCACAUCCCUAGCAAAGUCAGAUGUGUGAGGGAAGGAAAAAAGAGAAAUUGAGAGUAAUUCAUAAGUUUUUGUCUCAAGUAAAUGGGUAGACACUGAAGUCACUUGUGAAAUCUUGGAAGUAAAGGAGAUUGGAGGUGGAGGCAAGAAUCAAGAACGUCGUUUUGGAUAUGCAGUUCUGAAAAUGCCUAUUAGAUACCAAAUGAAAAAGGCCAUGUAAACCAAGGAAUAUAUGCAUUUGGAGCUCAAAGAAGGGGUCAGGGCUGGAGUUAAAAAUUCAAGGAUCAUCAACUUAUACCUAGAUUUAAAACUAGGGGAAUGGGAGUUCCCGUCGUGGCUCAGUGGUUAACGAAUCCGACUAGGAAACAUGAGGUUGCGGGUUCGAUCCCUGGCCUUGCUCAGUGGGUUAAGGAUCGGGUGUUGCCAUGAGCUGUGGUGUAGGUCACAGACGCAGCUUGGAUCCUGCGUUGCUGUGGCUGUGGUGUAGGCUGGCAGCUACAGCUCCAAUUAGACCCCUAGCCUGGGAACCUCCAUAUGCCGCAGGAGUGGCCCUAGAAAAGGCAAAAAGACAAAAAGACGAAAAAUAAAAAAAUAAAACAAACUAGGGGAAUGGAUGAAAUCAAUUAAGGAAAGAACAUGUAGAAAAAAAGAGAUGAGGCUCCAAGGCCAAGGGCUGGGGCACUCCAACAUCUAAAGGUAGAGCAGAGAAGCAGCCAGCCAACAGGGCCAAGAAGCAACAAUUAGUAAGACAGGGAGAAAAUCAGAAACAUGUACUGUCCUGGAAACCAAGUGUCCCUUUAUAUAGAGAAACCAAUUAUGCCCAAUGCUGGGGUGGGGAGGGCUUCCUGGGAGGGACAAGAGGUGAGCACUAUAUUUGCAACGUGGAAUCACUGGUGACCCAGACAAGUGCAGCUUCAGUGGAGUGAUGGGGGCAGAAACCUAGCUGGAGUGGGUUGAACAAAAAUGGGAUGUGGGUAAGUGAAAACAUUUAAUUUAGACAACUCUUAAGUUUUUCUGGGAAGGGCAGCAGAGAAAUGAGAAGUAACCAAAGAGGGAAAUGGGGCCAAAGGAAGCGUUUUUAAAGAAGAUCCUAGGAGUUCCCGUCGUGGCGCAGUGGUUAACGAAUCCGACUAGGAACCAUGAGGUUGCGGGUUCGAUCCCUGGCCUUGCUCAGUGGGUUAACGAUCCGGUGUUGCCGUGAGUAGGUUGCAGACGUGGCUCGGAUCCCGAGUUGCUGUGGCUCUGGUGUAGGCCAGUGGCUACAGCUCCGAUUAGACCCCUAGCCUGGGAAUCUCCACAUGCCACGGAAUCUCCACAUGCCAUGGGAGCGACCCAAGAAAUAACAAAAAGACAAAAAAUAAAUAAAUAAAUAAAGAAGAUCCUAGUGCAUAUCUUUAUGCUAAUAGGAAUGACGUAUCAAAAGAAAGAUGGAGGAAAGAGAAAAUAAUUGCAGGAGCAGAGAUCUUGAGAAGUCAAAAGAAGACAGGAUUCUGUAAACAGGUGGAGGGGUUGGCCUUUUACAAAAACAGGGCUAUUUCAUUCAGGAGGAAAGGUAGAGACUGAGCACAGAGGCAAGUCAUGCAGCUGACAUAGUAAAGGAUAAGGAUCCCCACCCGUUUCUAUUUCUGCCAUGAGGUAGGUGACAAGAUAGUUAGUAGAGAUGAAAGGAGGGGCUUUGAAGAAAAAUGAAGAUGGGAAAAGAAGGAAUGAAAACAGUAAUUUCAGGGAGUGAGAAAGUAGACAAGUACAUGAUGUUUGCUCAGCAGUUAGAGGUGAUGAAAAGAUUUAAGAUAUAACCAAGGGAAUAUGUAUGACUAAGGUGGAGGGAUAUGCACAUUCAACUUCAGAAAGACUAAGAAACUGACCCCCUAGUCACACAGCUAAUGGGCAGAAGGGCCAGGAAUCACACUGAAGCCAAGUGAGCUCACACUCCAUGCUCUUUCUACUAUGACAAACCUUCAGGUGCAGUUAAGCAACCUGGCACACAGAAAAAGCUACAAAGAAAGGUUAAUUCAGGAGUUCCCUUUGUGGCUCAGCAGUUAAGGAAUCCGACUAGGAUCCAUGAGGAUGUGGGUUCAAUCCCUGGCCUUGCUCAGUGGGUUAAGGAUCCAGCGUUGCCAUGAGCUGCCAUGGUCAGAGAUGAGGCUUGGAUCCAGUUUUGCUGUGGCUAUGGUGUAGGCCAGCAGCUGUAGCUUCAAUUCAACCCUGAGUCUGGGAACUUCCAUAUGCCGCU
RNAcentral lists this long non-coding RNA (7011 nucleotides) under Sus scrofa (pig). RNAcentral's name for it is "lncRNA (ENSSSCG00000055525.1)". The record is from RNAcentral. Lineage: Eukaryota; Metazoa; Chordata; Mammalia; Artiodactyla; Suidae.